UAUACUUAUAAAAUAAAGUUAUAUUAUAAGACGUUUGUAACAGUUUGUUAAAUAGAUAAAGAUGUUUAAAACUAAUUUUAUUUGGUGAAAUAAAUAAAUUUAUUUGGUUUUGUUUGACAUUUAUAUAUAUUAAAGUUAAUUAAAAUUUAUAAGAGACUGGGAUUAGAUACCCCAUUAUUUUUAGUUUAAUGUCUGAAUAGUACGGAUAGAAUCUGAUAAGAGAUCCUUAUUUAAAAUUUAAAUGAUUUGGUGGUAUUUUAAACUUCUUAGGGGAACUUGUUUAUUAAACGAUAAUCCGCGUUGUACCUUUCCUUGUUUUGAAAUUAGCUUAUAUAUCGUUGUGAAAUAGUUUACUUUGAAGAAUUUAGUAGUAAGCAGAUAAUAAAGUUUAUUGUAUAUCAGAUCUAGAUGUAGUUGAUAACAAGGUUUAAAUGAGUUACAAUCAUUUUAUAGUAUGUAAAUUUAAAUUAAUGAAAUGUAAAUGACAAAUUAGGACUUAAAAGUAAAAUAUUUUGAUUUAAGUAUUUUGAAAUUAGCUCUAAAAUGUGC
Molecule: ribosomal RNA, 549 nt
Filed under: Marginella liliputana
Lineage: Eukaryota; Metazoa; Mollusca; Gastropoda; Neogastropoda; Marginellidae
Description: partial 12S ribosomal RNA
Source: RNAcentral